This 65-nucleotide transfer RNA is filed under the name Dipodomys ordii (Ord's kangaroo rat). It matches the Rfam family "tRNA". Rfam says of the family: Transfer RNA (tRNA) molecules are approximately 80 nucleotides in length. Lineage: Eukaryota; Metazoa; Chordata; Mammalia; Rodentia; Heteromyidae. The record is from Rfam by way of RNAcentral.
GGUGGCUCAGUGGUAGAGUACUUGUCUCAUAUACAUGAGACCCUAGGUUCAAUUCCUUGGCACCA